UACGGAGGGUGCAAGCGUUAUCCGGAUUCACUGGGUUUAAAGGGUGCGUAGGUGGGUUUGUAAGUCAGUGGUGAAAUCUCCAAGCUUAACUUGGAAACUGCCGUUGAUACUAUAAAUCUUGAAUGUUGUGAAGGUGAGCGGAAUAUGUCAUGUAGCGGUGAAAUGCUUAGAUAUGACAUAGAACACCAAUUGCGAAGGCAGCUCACUACACAAAGAUUGACACUGAGGCACGAAAGCGUGGGGAUCAAACAGG
RNAcentral lists this ribosomal RNA (253 nucleotides) under uncultured bacterium. Its description in RNAcentral is "partial 16S ribosomal RNA". It matches the Rfam family "Bacterial small subunit ribosomal RNA", at positions 524 to 776 of the family's 1533-position model. The record is from RNAcentral.